Molecule: unclassified non-coding RNA, 212 nt
Filed under: Hevea brasiliensis (rubber tree)
Lineage: Eukaryota; Viridiplantae; Streptophyta; Magnoliopsida; Malpighiales; Euphorbiaceae
Source: RNAcentral
GAGAUGUUUUUAUGACAGAGAUUUCAGAUCAGAUACAAUUGAAUCUGUUCUUUGUGGGUCCAUGUUCCCAAUGGAGUUCUCAGUCAAAGAAAGAGUUAAGCUUUGGGUCAGAAUAUUCUCUGCAUGUGACAAAGUAGAGCUGAAAGCUCUUGAGAAGAUAUUGGAGCAGAAGCAACGGGGAUUUCUUAUUGGAUUGCAGGUUACAACAAGAG